AUGGCUCGUCUCGUUGUCAAGGACGAUAUCACUUCUGAGGGAGUGCUGGCUGUAGGCCAGACUCUCCGGCUUGGCGGCUUCAUUAUGACCGCCCCAUCGGCUGUCACGCCGACGAUGGCCUCUCGGGUCAUCACGCGUAACCUUCGCAUUGGUUCGGAGCUUUCUGAACAGAUGGAUCCGAUGGAGCUCUCCUCUCUUAACGAGCUCUUGGAUCGCAUCGCCGCCUUGGGAGUCGCUAUGGACUAUGACCGGAUUGGGCUUAAACCCGACCAGAGGGACAUUAGAUCCCCGCCGGCCACCCAUGAGAUAGCGGUAGUGGAGGAAUCACACGUGGGUCGCCCGUCAACUUUGAGGACAAAUUAUGUUCGGAUCACCGAAUUCAGUGAGCCAAACACCCACCCAAAGGACUACAUGACCCAGGUCCCGGACUUAGAAUCGGGCGCUGGGCCAAAGGGAUUAGGUAAUGCUCCAGAUCCUGAACUGUCAGGCUCGGUACUUCCCGUGCCCCCGGGCGUCAGAUCGGAUCAAAAUCCGGCUUCAGCCAAUGACGCCCGCUCGGACUUAAUUCGCCUCUCCCGUGUCCGACAGGAGCCCCAGGAGACGGUACAUCGUUACUGGGCCAGAUUUCUCCUUGCUCUUAAUAAGGUCAAGGACUGCCACGAGGAGGACGUAGUCUCUCUUUUCUGCAGAAACUGCACGAACAAAGGACUCUUUAAUGCUAUAAGUCGCCGUGACAUAGAGCACCUUACAGACUUGGCAACCAUAGUACAAAUGUAUUGUGCGAUAGAAAGUGCCUGGAAAACCCAGACAGAAUUUUGGGAUAGUACGACCCUCACCGGAACCUUUGUCCGAACUAAACGGCCGAACUCUCGUAAGUCGACCAACUCAAUUCCCAAGAAACCAAAGCCUGCCCCAGGGCGUGGAAUCAUAUUGGAAGGAUGGCUCAACGGGCCGUGUAAGCUUCACAGCACUUCAGACGCUACACCGACCCAUAACCUUAGAGCAUGUUGGAUACUCCGGCAGGUAGCUAAGAGUGGCGAGGAUCUCCUCGAGAGCCAUAAAGUAGAACCACAUCCCGCCAAAGAACGCAAUACAGUGCUGACAGUCUUCGAGACCUUCGCCUCAAACAAUAGGCGCAAGCGAGCGCAUCGAAGCUCCGUUGAAAUUUGCCAUGUGGCAAAAGUAAAUCCAUGGAACGACAUUGCUAUAACCUUCAAUGCCAGUGACGAACCCCAAGUCCAGUCCAUCUGGGCACUGGCCGCUCUGGUCCUCAGCCCAAUAGUGGAUGGCUUUCGGCUCACUAAAGUACUCAUGGACGGCGGAAGCGGAUUGAACCUAAUCUAUGAAGAAACCCUCAAAAAGAUGGAGAUUGACAAAAGCUGCAUUGAACAAAGUGGCACGACCUUCAGGGGAAUUAUCCCUAGUCGGGAGGCUCGGUGUGCGGGAAAAAUCACACUCGACGUGGUAUUCAGCACCCCAAAGAAUUACAGGUCCGAAGAAAUCACAUUCCAAGUGGCUCCUUUCAACAGCGGAUAUCAUGCCCUUCUAGGGCGGGACGCGUUUGCGAGCUUUCAAGCCAUACCCCUUUACGGGUACAUGAAGCUUAAAAUGCCCGGACCCAAUGGAAUCAUCACUCUAGCUAGUGAUCCGGACGUUGCACUCCGCGCCGAAAACAAAACCGCAGCGCUGGGCUUGGAAGCAUUAUCCGAAGCCCUAGCGGCAGAAGAAUUAACCACGCUAUGCGCCACCGUGGACAGGGACGACGUGAUACUCGACAAGCGACCCAAGUCCACCUCAUUCAAACCCACAGAUGAGAUAGUCAAAUUCCAAGUCCACCCAACGGACCCCAUGAAGACAACUUCUAUUGGGACAUAG
This 1875-nucleotide ribosomal RNA is filed under the name Triticum aestivum (bread wheat). RNAcentral's name for it is "partial small subunit ribosomal RNA". The record is from RNAcentral. Lineage: Eukaryota; Viridiplantae; Streptophyta; Magnoliopsida; Poales; Poaceae.